GCCUGAGUAAAACCAUAUCCUUUCAGUCCUAUCAUCUUUGUGGUUACCUACCUUGUCUUCUUCACCUUUAUCAUUUGGCAUUGAGCAGUUGGUUGGCAAUGGAGCGCCACAAAGUUUAGGGUUACCCUCAAAAGAUGAAGGAUUAGUGAAGGUGAGGAAUUGGUUGGCUGAUGGAAUUGGUCCUGAAAAGUUGUUAUGUGAUAAGUUGAGAUAGUUCAAGAAUGUCAUAGAAGACAUGCUUGGAGGAAUGGGACCUGAAAGAUGGUUGCAUGAGAGGUCAAGAGAUUCUAAAAGCUUCA
Molecule: unclassified non-coding RNA, 299 nt
Filed under: Hevea brasiliensis (rubber tree)
Lineage: Eukaryota; Viridiplantae; Streptophyta; Magnoliopsida; Malpighiales; Euphorbiaceae
Source: RNAcentral